AACGAACGCUGGCGGCAUGCCUAACACAUGCAAGUCGAACGAGACCUUCGGGUCUAGUGGCGCACGGGUGCGUAACGCGUGGGAACCUGCCCUUAGGUUCGGAAUAACUCCCCGAAAGGGGUGCUAAUACCGGAUAAUGUCUUCGGACCAAAGAUUUAUCGCCUUUGGAUGGGCCCGCGUUGGAUUAGCUAGUUGGUAGGGUAAAAGCCUAUCGAGGCGACGAUCCAUAGCUGGUCUGAGAGGAUGAUCAGCCACACUGGGACUGAGACACGGCCCAGACUCCUACGGAGAGCAGCAGUGUGGAAUAUAGGACGAGGAGCGAAAACCUGAUCCAGCAGUGCCGGGUGAGUGAUGAUGGCCUUAGGGUUGUAAAGCUCUUUUACCCGGGAUGAUAAUGACAGUACCGGGAGAAUAAGCUCCGGCUAACUCCGUG
This 433-nucleotide ribosomal RNA is filed under the name uncultured bacterium. Its description in RNAcentral is "partial 16S ribosomal RNA". It matches the Rfam family "Bacterial small subunit ribosomal RNA", at positions 29 to 507 of the family's 1533-position model. The record is from RNAcentral.